AUUGAACGCUGGCGGCAUGCUUUACACAUGCAAGUCGAACGGCAGCGCGGGCUUCGGCCUGGCGGCGAGUGGCGAACGGGUGAGUAAUGCAUCGGAACGUGCCCAGUAGUGGGGGAUAGCCCGGCGAAAGCCGGAUUAAUACCGCAUACGACCUGAGGGUGAAAGCGGGGGACCGAAAGGCCUCGCGCUAUUGGAGCGGCCGAUGUCGGAUUAGCUAGUUGGUGGGGUAAAGGCUUACCAAGGCGACGAUCCGUAGCUGGUCUGAGAGGACGACCAGCCACACUGGGACUGAGACACGGCCCAGACUCCUACGGGAGGCAGCAGUGGGGAAUUUUGGACAGUGGGGGCAACCCUGAUCCAGCCAUGCCGCGUGCGGGAAGAAGGCCUUCGGGUUGUAAACCGCUUUUGUUCGGGAAGAAAUCCUCUGGGCUAAUACCCCGGGGGGAUGACGGUACCGGAAGAAUAAGCACCGGCUAACUACGU
RNAcentral lists this ribosomal RNA (483 nucleotides) under uncultured bacterium. Its description in RNAcentral is "partial 16S ribosomal RNA". It matches the Rfam family "Bacterial small subunit ribosomal RNA", at positions 28 to 506 of the family's 1533-position model. The record is from RNAcentral.